GCGCUUGCUUCGGCAGCACAUAUACUAAAAUCGGAAUGAUUCAGAGAUUAGUGUGGCCCCUGCGCAACGGUGACAUGCAAAUUCGUGGAGUGUUCCAUAUUUUG
Small nuclear RNA from Nycticebus coucang (slow loris), 104 nucleotides. NCBI's taxonomy places the organism in Eukaryota, Metazoa, Chordata, Mammalia, Primates, Lorisidae. The record is from RefSeq and is a predicted model, not a curated record.